CUUGGACAGAACUGUGGGGACGCAGAAGGAGAGCACGAGCCGGAAAUGGAAAAGCCGGUACAAGCGUAUAGCAGUCAUGCAGGCAAAACCGCAUGAAAAAUGUAAAGCGUUAUGUGGAUCGAAGAUUAGUAGAGAAGCGUGUGAGCCAGCUGCCAAGAAAAGCCGCUAUUGUUUCAUAAGUACCCGUACCGUAAACCGACACAGGUGGAUGAGGAGAGAAUCCUAAGGCCGGCGGGAGAAGUGUUGUUAAGGAACCCGGCAAAAUGACUCCGUAACUUCGGGAGAAGGAGUGCCACAGAGAUGUGGCCGCAGAGAAAUGGCCCAAGCAACUGUUUAGCAAAAACACAGGUCUAUGCAAAACCGAAAGGUGAGGUAUAUGGGCUGACGCCUGCCCGGUGCUGGAAGGUUAAGAGGAGAGGUUAGAGCAAUCGAAGCUUUGAAUUUAAGCCCCAGUAAACGGCGGCCGUAACAAUAACGGUCCUAAGGUAGCGAAAUUCCUUGUCGGGUAAGUUCCGACCCGCACGAAAGGCGUAAUGAUUUGGGCACUGUCUCAACAACACACCCGGUGAAAUUGAAAUACCAGUGAAGGUGCUGGUUACCUGCGCCAGGACGGAAAGACCCCAUGGAGCUUUACUCCAGUUUGAUACUGGGAUUCGGUACUGUCUGUACAGGAUAGGUAGGAGGCUAGGAAAUGGUGACGCCGGUUGCCAUGGAGCCAACCUUGGGAUACCACCCUUACAGUACUGGGUUUCUAACCUGCAGCCGUAACCCGGCUGGGGGACAAUGUCUGACGGGGAGUUUGACUGGGGCGGUCGCCUCCGAAAGAGUAUCGGAGGCGCUCAAAGGUUCCCUCAGAACGGUUGGAAACCGUUCGAAGAGUGCAAAGGCAGAAGGGAGCUUGACUGCGACACCGACGGGUGGAGCAGAUACGAAAGUAGGACUUAGUGAUCCGGUGGUAUAAAGUGGGAUUGCCAUCGCUCAACGGAUAAAAGCUACCCUGGGAUAACAGGCUUAUCACUCCCAAGAGUUCACAUCGACGGAGUGGUUUGGCACCUCGAUGUCGGCUCAUCGCAUCCUGGAGCUGUAGCAGGUUCCAAGGGUUGGGCUGUUCGCCCAUUAAAGCGGUACGCGAGCUGGGUUCAGAACGUCGUGAGACAGUUCGGUCCCUAUCCGGCGUGGGCGUAGGAUAUUUGAGAGGAGCUGUCCUUAGUACGAGAGGACCGGGAUGGACAAACCUCUGGUGUAUCUGUUGUUUUACCAAAGGCAUGGCAGAGUAGCCAAGUUUGGCAGGGAUAAACGCUGAAGGCAUCUAAGCGUGAAGCCCCCCUCAAGAUAAGAUAUCCCAUCUUCGGAGUAAGACCCCUUGAAGACUACAAGGUUGAUAGGCUUCAGGUGUAAGUGUGGUAACGCACUCAGCUGAGAAGUACUAAUAGGUCGAGGACUUAUC
RNAcentral lists this ribosomal RNA (1447 nucleotides) under metagenome. RNAcentral describes it as "bacterial LSU rRNA". It matches the Rfam family "Bacterial large subunit ribosomal RNA", at positions 1447 to 2925 of the family's 2925-position model. The record is from RNAcentral.